UCAUAUUAAAAAUAAAAGCUGGACAGUAAAAACAACAGUUUAAAAUCUAAAGAUCUUGGCGGCGCUUUACCUAAUCAGGGGAACUUGUUCCUUAAUUCGAUAAUCCACGAAAAAUUUACCAUUUUUUGAAUUAAACAGUCUGUGUACUGCCGUCCUAAGUAUACUUCUAAGAAAUUAUACAAUAAUAAUUAACUUAUUAAUGUCAGGUCAUAGUACAGCUAAUAAAAUGGAGGAAAUGAGUUACACUCAAUAAAUAGAUACCAAAAUAAAGUUUAAACUUUGUGAAAAGGUGGACUUGAUAGUAAUAAUUACAUAAAAAACUAUUAUGAAACAGAAUCUAAAGCGUGCACACAUCGCCCGUCACUCCAAUCAAAGAUU
Molecule: ribosomal RNA, 378 nt
Filed under: Monopylephorus rubroniveus
Lineage: Eukaryota; Metazoa; Annelida; Clitellata; Tubificida; Naididae
Description: partial 12S ribosomal RNA
Rfam family: Microsporidia small subunit ribosomal RNA
Source: RNAcentral